Long non-coding RNA from Rhipicephalus microplus (southern cattle tick), 327 nucleotides. NCBI's taxonomy places the organism in Eukaryota, Metazoa, Arthropoda, Arachnida, Ixodida, Ixodidae. The record is from RefSeq and is a predicted model, not a curated record.
AGGUCUUCGUAGAGCAUUGCGAUGGAUCCCAGAUGUCUGCUGGUUGCAUUAUUGACUUUCGGCAUUAUGACGUAUGGUACUUUGCUUGCCGAAGAUGAAGGUCAUAUAGAAGACUAAGACCAAUUUACUUAUGAUGGCUGUCUCACAUGGUACCUGGCUCGUCUUGUUGAAAGUAAGAAGCAAGGCGCCUACAUAUACCAAUUCAUCUGGAUGAAACUCUGUGCCAGCGGAGAUAGCGAGUGACUAUCCUGUAGACAAGCUUGAGUCCCUAACAAUAAAAUAAAUUUGUAAAAAUAAAAACAAUUAUCUGUCGAAGUAGGAAAAUAA